UGUGAGUAUUAUUACACAACGAUUCGAUCCCCUGGUAAUAAUAAAUCAUUGGACCCAAACUAUCAGCUCAAAAUAUUUAGUCCCACAUUAUUCGAUAUGGGACUUUUAUGGUGUCAUAGACUCUCCCCCCGUUUGCAACACAAGUGCUGUAACGAUCUCAACCGCUGGCAAUAAUAACUCAAUUGGGCCCAAACCAUCAGCCCAAAAUAUUCAAACUAAAUUAUUAUUACUAGUGUGUCACACUCUUCGCUUGUUAGGCCUUGAGUCCUCGUCAGCCCAUCACAUACAUAGCCCGCCCACGAUCACCCGGCAAAAUGAGACUUGUCUCACUAGUCGCCUUGAGUCCUCAUCAGCCCAUCACGUACACAGCCCACGAUUAUCCGACGAUAUGAAACUUGUUUCACUAAUCUUGUCAAUCAGAUCCUGGCAUAGCAUAUCAUUCUCACAUCCUAACUCAGUAGAAACUCAUUAUACACUUCCUGCUGGUGAUUGGCUCUGAUACCAAAUAUAAUGACCCGACCAGCUAACAAUAAUAACUCGUAAGAAUCAAACCAUCGGGCCAAAAUACUUUGACCCAGUUAUUAUUACUAGUGUUUAUAUCACUUAUAAAUCCAUCACACUCUUUCACAUUAUCCGAUAUGGGGAUUAUUGGAGUGCCACAAGUGCCUUGACGCCCCACUUCUUAGAAGGGUUACCUAUCUUAAAACUAUUUUAUUCCUAUCACGCUUUACUCUUUUAUCCUCUUAGACCUAAUUAGCACUCAAAAUGCUAUAGUCAGAUUAAAAUGUUU
Molecule: long non-coding RNA, 790 nt
Filed under: Ananas comosus (pineapple)
Lineage: Eukaryota; Viridiplantae; Streptophyta; Magnoliopsida; Poales; Bromeliaceae
Description: long non-coding RNA (ACOM_LNC032914)
Source: RNAcentral